RNAcentral lists this ribosomal RNA (402 nucleotides) under uncultured bacterium. Its description in RNAcentral is "bacterial SSU rRNA". It matches the Rfam family "Bacterial small subunit ribosomal RNA", at positions 28 to 433 of the family's 1533-position model. The record is from RNAcentral.
GACGAACGCUGGCGGCGUGCUUAACACAUGCAAGUCGAGCGGUAAGGCCCUUUCGGGGGUACACGAGCGGCGAACGGGUGAGUAACACGUGGGUGACCUGCCCUUAGCUCUGGGAUAAGCCUGGGAAACUGGGUCUAAUACCGGAUAUGACUCCAUGACGCAUGUUGUGGGGUGGAAAGCCUUGUGCGGCUAGGGAUGGGCCCGCGGCCUAUCAGCUUGUUGGUGGGGUGAUGGCCUACCAAGGCGACGACGGGUAGCCGGCCUGAGAGGGCGACCGGCCACACUGGGACUGAGACACGGCCCAGACUCCUACGGGAGGCAGCAGUGGGGAAUCUUGCGCAAUGGGCGAAAGCCUGACGCAGCGACGCCGCGUGAGGGAUGACGGCCUCGGUUGUAACCUAC